This 497-nucleotide ribosomal RNA is filed under the name uncultured bacterium. Its description in RNAcentral is "partial 16S ribosomal RNA". It matches the Rfam family "Bacterial small subunit ribosomal RNA", at positions 28 to 507 of the family's 1533-position model. The record is from RNAcentral.
GAUGAACGCUGGCGGCGUGCCUAAUACAUGCAAGUCGAGCGAACGGACGAGAAGCUUGCUUUUUUGAUGUUAGCGGCGGACGGGUGAGUAACACGUGGAUAACCUACCUAUAAGACUGGGAUAACUUCGGGAAACCGGAGCUAAUACCGGAUAAUAUUUUGAACCGCAUGGUUCAAAAGUGAAAGACGGUCUUGCUGUCACUUAUAGAUGGAUCCGCGCUGCAUGAGCUAGUUGGUAAGGUAACGGCUUACCAAGGCAACGAGGCAUAGCCGACCUGAGAGGGGGAUCGGCCACACUGGAACUGAGACACGGUCCAGACUCCUACGGGAGGCAGCAGUAGGGAAUCUUCCGCAAUGGGCGAAAGCCUGACGGAGCAACGCCGCGUGAGUGAUGAAGAUCUUCGGAUCGUAAAGCUCUGUUAUUAGGGAAGAACAUAUGUGUAAGUAACUGUGCCCAUCUUGACGGUACCUAAUCAAAAAGCCCCGGCUAACUACGUG